AUGGAGCUGCUGAUAAAGUGACAGAUCCAAUGGUGAGCCGAUUUCUUUAUGAGAAGGCUUCCAGCAAAGACAAAACUUUAAAGCUCUACGAAGAUGGAUAUCAUUGCAUUUUGGAAGGCGAACCUGAUGAAAUAAUUUUUACCGUAAUCAAUGACAUUAUCUCCUGGCUUGAUUCUCGGUGUACUGUUCACUAAGAAUUACAUUAGAACACUAAGAUUUACAUUGGAGCCGAUUAGGAAAUAAACACCUUNAAGUAAAUAAUUUUACAGAAGUUCAGUAACCAGAAAAUUUAUGAAGCAAAUUGAGUUACCAAUACUGAUAGAAAGCAGAUUCAAAAAGUUUGUAGAGGCCCUCUAUGUUUAUUACCAUUUUUCUUCGCGAAAGCUUCAGUCUUUUUUAUAUUUGCUUUCUCCUGUGUUGGUUUUAAAAUAAUCUAGUGUUCAAUGUCUACAUAAAUUUAAGCUGUAACUCAGCAAGGUAAAGUUUUGUGUUUGUUUUUUAGGAUAAUUCAAGCUGUACAAAUCAUAGUGGAUUAUGUGUAUCUAGGUUGUGUUUAUGCAGUUCAUAUAUCCACAGUCCUAUGUGUUUAGGUAAUCAGAUGGACAUUUCCAGGACUUCUAAAACGUGAUACUUGCUUGAUUGGUCAAUUUUGUCCUUGAUAUUACAAUAUAUUUCUUACAAAGAUUAUCGAGCAAGCACUGGUCUUAAGUUAUGAAAUAUUACAGUACAUUUAUGUUUUUGGUAUUGAUUACUUGUUAACUAGCUAAUAUUUGACUGCACUCUGUAGUUUCACCACCAUAGGCCCAUAGUCACUGAAGAUUGUCACGAAGAAACAUCUUUAUCUAUUAGUCUUCUGUUUUUCUUACAUGUAGCUGUUUGGUUAUAUCUGCAUAUAGCAAUUAAACUUCUAAAGUUUGACCUCACUUCAAUUUCAGGCUUCAUAUAAUGUAAUAUGUUACAAUGACCAGACGCGAUUAAAGACUGCUGUGGAGCUGCUAAAGGCAACAAAUUAUAUUGAAUCCCAACUCAAUAAGGUCUGUAGUACAUUUGAGUUUUUUGUUUACUGUAUGAUGGUACUGGCCACGCAGAGAUCCAUAUUUUCUAGAAUAAAACUAAUUUAUAUGAGAGAUACUGCAGAUAUCUUUACCAAUGCUUAUUCUUCAUGGAGCUGCUGAUAAAGUGACAGAUCCAAUGGUGAGCCGAUUUCUUUAUGAGAAGGCUUCCAGCAAAGACAAAACUUUAAAGCUCUACGAAGAUGGAUAUCAUUGCAUUUUGGAAGGCGAACCUGAUGAAAUAAUUUUUACCGUAAUCAAUGACAUUAUCUCCUGGCUUGAUUCUCGGUGUACUGUUCACUAAGAAUUACAUUAGAACACUAAGAUUUACAUUGGAGCCGAUUAGGAAAUAAACACCUUUUACAUCAUUCAUAGACGAGUAUUCAUUUUAGGCUACAACUUUUUUUUUCUUUAUUAAACUAAAUAACUUCUUUCGGUUAAAGUUAAAGUCGCAGAGCUCUGAUAAUCUGAUAUCUGAAGGUUACUUUGCAUAAUGUUAAUGGCAUUGUUGUAUGGAAGAUGUUAUGGCCAUGUAGUUACCACUCCACAGUUAUAAAUAUUGCUAGCAAGAGUCAGUUAGUAGAACUUCAAACGCAUCAAAAACCUAAAUACAAGAAUUUAAAGAAAGUCCAAGAGAAAACAUUUCAGGA
This 1702-nucleotide long non-coding RNA is filed under the name Daucus carota (carrot). Its description in RNAcentral is "long non-coding RNA (DCAR_LNC004720)". Lineage: Eukaryota; Viridiplantae; Streptophyta; Magnoliopsida; Apiales; Apiaceae. The record is from RNAcentral.